GAUGAAGAACGUAGCGAAAUGCGAUAAGUAGUGUGAAUUGCAGACUUUAGUGAAUCAUCGAAUCUUUGAACGCACAUUGCGCCCCUUGGUAUUCCAUUGGGCAUGCCUGUUCGAGCGUCAUUUAAACCUUCAAGCUUCGCUUGGUGUUGGGCGUCUGUCCGCGCUUCCCGCGCAGACUCGCCCCAAAUCCAUUGGCAGCGGCUUCGCCGGCUUCUCGCGCAGCACUUUGCGCUCUUCGAGGCUUUCGGCGGGCUCGCGUCCAUCAAGUUACCCCCCCAUUUUGACCUCGAAUCAGGUAGGGAUACCCGCUGAACUUAAGCAUAUCAAUAAGCGGAGGA
This 338-nucleotide unclassified non-coding RNA is filed under the name soil metagenome. RNAcentral's name for it is "partial contains 5.8S ribosomal RNA, internal transcribed spacer 2, and large subunit ribosomal RNA". The stretch from base 1 to 120 matches the Rfam family "5.8S ribosomal RNA", at positions 35 to 154 of the family's 154-position model. The record is from RNAcentral.